ACAGCAGCAGCCGCGGGAAUACGAGGGGGGCAAGCGUUAUUCGGAAUUAUUGGGCGUAAAGGGUGCGUAGGCGGCUUGACAAGUCUUGUGUGAAAUCUAUGGGCUCAACCCAUAGUCUGCACGGGAAACUGUCGGGCUUGAGAAUGGGAGAGGUGAGUGGAAUUUCCGGUGUAGCGGUGAAAUGCGUAGAUAUCGGAAGGAACACCUGUGGCGAAAGCGGCUCACUGGACAAUAACUGACGCUGAUGCACGAAAGCUAGGGGAGCAAACAGGAUUAGAUACCCGCGUAGUCCCUGUCUCUUAUAC
This 305-nucleotide ribosomal RNA is filed under the name uncultured bacterium. Its description in RNAcentral is "partial 16S ribosomal RNA". It matches the Rfam family "Bacterial small subunit ribosomal RNA", at positions 505 to 807 of the family's 1533-position model. The record is from RNAcentral.